This 328-nucleotide unclassified non-coding RNA is filed under the name soil metagenome. RNAcentral describes it as "partial contains 5.8S ribosomal RNA, internal transcribed spacer 2, and large subunit ribosomal RNA". The stretch from base 1 to 120 matches the Rfam family "5.8S ribosomal RNA", at positions 35 to 154 of the family's 154-position model. The record is from RNAcentral.
GAUGAAGAACGCAGCGAAAUGCGAUAAGUAAUGUGAAUUGCAGAAUUCAGUGAAUCAUCGAAUCUUUGAACGCACAUUGCGCCCCCUGGUAUUCCGGGGGGCAUGCCUGUCCGAGCGUCAUUACAACCCUCAAGCUCAGCUUGGUGUUGGGCCCCGCCGCCCCGGCGGGCCCUAAAGUCAGUGGCGGUGCCGUCCGGCUCCGAGCGUAGUAAUUCUUCUCGCUCUGGAGGUCCGGUCGUGUGCUCGCCAGCAACCCCCAAUUUUUUUCAGGUUGACCUCGGAUCAGGUAGGGAUACCCGCUGAACUUAAGCAUAUCAAUAAGCGGAGG